GAGAGGGGCUCGACAGCAACGAAGCUUGCUAACUUUCGCUUCCUUGGUUAGACCCCAAGGCCCACUCG
RNAcentral lists this transfer RNA (68 nucleotides) under Chrysochir aurea (Reeve's croaker). RNAcentral's name for it is "tRNA-Ser". The record is from RNAcentral. Lineage: Eukaryota; Metazoa; Chordata; Actinopteri; Sciaenidae.